AAAUGUGUAGCACCCAGAAUGUAAAUAAUUUAUAGCUCUCUGCCUUGGUGGUACAUGCCAAUUGCCAGAGACAAAAAAUAAUUCUCAAAUCAUAUUCACAUAUAUCAUCUUUUAGGAACUCCAGGUAUAACAAACGUUUGUGCCUUUAACCUUCUGGGCAGGUGAUAUGAAGUUCAUUCAUCUAAAGAAGUUAUUCAAAUAA
This 202-nucleotide long non-coding RNA is filed under the name Homo sapiens (human). Its description in RNAcentral is "HSALNT0164203". Lineage: Eukaryota; Metazoa; Chordata; Mammalia; Primates; Hominidae. The record is from RNAcentral.